GCCCCUACGGGGCGCAGCAGUGGGGAAUAUUGCACAAUGGGGGAAACCCUGAUGCAGCAACGCCGCGUGAGUGAAGAAGUAUUUCGGUAUGUAAAGCUCUAUCAGCAGGGAAGAAGAUGACGGUACCUGAUUAAGAAGCCCCGGCUAACUACGUGCCAGCAGCCGCGGUAAUACGUAGGGGGCACGCGUUAUCCGGAUUUACUGGGGGUAAAGGGAGCGCAGACGGCAGUGCAAGUCUGGAUUGAAAUGCCGGGGCUCAACCCCGGACCUGCUUUGGAAAC
This 281-nucleotide ribosomal RNA is filed under the name uncultured bacterium. RNAcentral describes it as "partial 16S ribosomal RNA". It matches the Rfam family "Bacterial small subunit ribosomal RNA", at positions 335 to 633 of the family's 1533-position model. The record is from RNAcentral.